CACAGUUGCUUCUUAGUGAUUAGAUGGGAGUAGUUUAUCAGCAAAUGCAUUUUUGUAUGGUUGUACAGUACUACAGUAUGCUGAACUGUAGAUUGUGCAUAGCUAGGUCAAAUGAGGCACUUGGUAACAGAAGGUAAACGAAACAUGUAGUGAUUCACAGGAUUAAAGUGUGUGUGCCGGGACUGAAGGCAUCAGAGGGAGAUCAGGACCUUAAGACAUUGAAUGCUAGAAGGUAUCUGUCUCGCAAUUCCACAGAAUGAGCAGCACAUUUGUGACCCUCACAGAGGUGCUGGAAGCCAGAGGAGGACCGCUGGAAGAGGAUGAGGUGUGGUCGCUCCUGCUGGGCUCAGCUGAAUCCCUCUUAGACCUUUCCUACAAAGGUCACAAUAUCUGCAGCAUUAUAACUCCUGCAUCACUGCUCUUGUCCGCGACUGGGACGCUGGCAUUCAAGAACUGUGCUAUGACAGAUGAGGUGUGUGCCUUCACAGCCCCAGAGAUGCUGCAAGGCCGUGCCAUCUCCACCAAGCUAGC
Sinocyclocheilus grahami is the source of this 531-nucleotide long non-coding RNA. RefSeq lists it as uncharacterized. NCBI's taxonomy places the organism in Eukaryota, Metazoa, Chordata, Actinopteri, Cypriniformes, Cyprinidae. The record is from RefSeq and is a predicted model, not a curated record. The transcript is spliced from 3 exons.